AUAAGUCAUUUUUUCACUUUCAUCUAAGGAGGGAAAAUGACUUCUUGCUUUACGACUAUAUUAACUAUAACAUAACUUCAUAUUACGUGCUCCAACUAAUAUUCAUAUGAAUCUUUAGGAAAAAUAGUUUUCAUAGAAAAUGACUUCAGUCAUACCAAACAUGCUCUACGUAGUUUUCUAUUUUUCCUUAUGUAGAGUUGAGAGGGUGACUGAAGGAGAGGUUACACGAAGCACAUUUCUGACAAUGCAAGUAACAAUACCUCCCGC
Molecule: long non-coding RNA, 267 nt
Filed under: Capsicum annuum
Lineage: Eukaryota; Viridiplantae; Streptophyta; Magnoliopsida; Solanales; Solanaceae
Description: long non-coding RNA (CANN_LNC020295)
Source: RNAcentral